GCAAGUCGAGCGGUAACAGAGAGGUGCUUGCACCUUUGCUGACGAGCGGCGGACGGGUGAGUAACGCGUAGGAAUCUACCUGGUAGUGGGGGAUAGCCCAGAGAAAUUUGGAUUAAUACCGCAUACGCCCUACGGGGGAAAGGAGGGGAUCUUCGGACCGGUCACUAUUGGAUGAGCCUGCGUGAGAUUAGCUAGUUGGUGGGGUAAAGGCCUACCAAGGCGACGAUCUCUAGCUGGUCUGAGAGGAUGAUC
This 252-nucleotide ribosomal RNA is filed under the name uncultured bacterium. RNAcentral describes it as "partial 16S ribosomal RNA". It matches the Rfam family "Bacterial small subunit ribosomal RNA", at positions 57 to 305 of the family's 1533-position model. The record is from RNAcentral.